CCUACGGGAGGCUGCAGUGAGGAAUAUUGGUCAAUGGACGAGAGUCUGAACCAACCAAGUAGCGUGAAGGAUGACUGCCCUAUGGGUUGUAAACUUCUUUUAUAUGGGAAUAAAACGUUCCACGUGUGGGAUUUUGUAUGUACCAUAUGAAUAAGGAUCGGCUAACUCCGUGCCAGCAGCCGCGGUAAUACGGAGGAUCCGAGCGUUAUCCGGAUUUAUUGGGUUUAAAGGGAGCGUAGGUGGAUUGUUAAGUCAGUUGUGAAAGUUUGCGGCUCAACCGUAAAAUUGCAGUUGAAACUGGCAGUCUUGAGUACAGUAGAGGUGGGCGGAAUUCGUGGUGUAGCGGUGAAAUGCUUAGAUAUCACGAAGAACUCCGAUUGCGAAGGCAGUUCACUGGACUGCAACUGACACUGAGGCUCGAAAGUGUGGGUAUCAAACAGGAUUAGAUACCCCAGUAGUC
This 460-nucleotide ribosomal RNA is filed under the name uncultured bacterium. RNAcentral's name for it is "partial 16S ribosomal RNA". It matches the Rfam family "Bacterial small subunit ribosomal RNA", at positions 338 to 795 of the family's 1533-position model. The record is from RNAcentral.